AUGGAGGUAACUGCAGAGAAGGACACUGUCUCUAAGAGACCCAAGACAGAGGGACAGCAGGACCAAACAAAGUCCCCCAGAAGAGAUCAGGAUAUGAAGAAGAAGACAAGGAGAGGUAAUAGAAGAAAAAGUAAAGGAAUGAAAAAUCAAGCUGACAAGGAUCCUCAGACUCAGAGUACACUGGAAAAAGGGCAGACCAUCCAGGUGUGUCAAACCUUGGAAACACAUACACAAGAACACAACCAAGACCAAGACCACCAAGCUGAAACCAGUCAACAACAGGAACAGUCCAUGCAUCAGCCUAAUGAUACAAAACAAACACAUGUCAAGGAUGCUAAGAGAGUUCACGUCCAGACUCAAACAAAUAAACCUAAAGGCAAGAACCGGGCAACUCAGACCCCUUUAGUUGUUCAGAACACACAGCAGACACAGACAGAACCCUCUGAUUCCACUCAGCCAAUGACAGAUGAACAUGCUGACACCACUCAGCCAAUGAAUGAGCAAACACAGAACAGCGAUGGAGCAGGCAGUGAAGGAGCAGCAUCAGAACCACCUAAGAGGGAGAAUCCAAACUCUACCGAAGAGGUAAAGAGUAAGCCCGAAUCAGAGAAAGGGGUACAACAUUCAGGAGAAAGCUCAGGGAGUCCCGCAGCCUGCCAGGUAAAACAGGGAGUCAAAUUAACUACCAAGUCUUAUGCAGAAGCUGCAGCGGAAGAUAAAACAAAGACUCAGAAGAGGUCGAGUCCUCAGACUUCAAAUCAAUGCAAAAAGGAUUCCAAGAGUAGAGGAUGUCGGUAAGCUGGCAAUAAGCUUAUGGCAUGCUGUUAUUACCUGAGUACAAUGAGUAACAACACAUGACGCGACACACAAGUAUACUGUUAUUACUUCUUUAUUACUGUAACUAGUCACUCAACAUUUUCGGUCUUCUUUUAUUUUCUCGCCUUCAUCAGAGAGCGGUCCCCAGUAAGGAUUCCUCCUGGGAUUCCUAUGUUCACCUUUCAUAUCUAUGCUGUGCUGAACAAAAAGUUCAGAUUCAACCAAGAAUAUGACACACUCUUGUUAUGUCAUCAAGAUGAAACUCAUGCACUUGAAAUGACUCAUUUCGUGUGAGUAUGAAUACUUUUCUCCUUACUGGUGAUGUUGGAUCGAUGAGAAUAUUUUACUGUUUAUCGGCUACACAAUACACACAUGGUGAUAAUUAUCAUUGUUUGUAAAUCAGUUUUAAAUUUAUUCUUUAGAGGUCUAUGUCAGCAAGGCUAUCUAAUAGAAGCAAGUCUCUCAGUACCGGAAAGCUCAAUACCCAGGGGACAAAUGUUGACUUACCAAUAUCGGGUGCAGCAAAGGCAGAAAAAGAUUUUGGAGAUAGCCACAAGGAAUAUUCAAAUUCCAAAUGAUUCACAAGUAAAGGGUAAGAGGAAAACAUUUAAAAUCUAUUUUUAGAAGUUAACAAUUACCUUGUAUGUUACAUUGAGUAUGAUACUGAUUAUUCAUCAUUGUUUCCAGAGUUGCACCUAUAUGAGGGUCACAUUCAUCGGCUGGAGUCAUGGUGGUCCUUCCAAGGGUGGUUAGAUGUGUUCCAAUCAAAAGGAAAGGGUAUGGCUGAUGCCUGGCAAGCCUCUGCCCAUCUACUACUAGACCACAUUUUACAGAAAUGGGAUCCACCCAACCAGGAGAGCACUGUGCAGUUUGCUCAGCUCUUGCAUCAUUUCCAGAGGAGUUACUCCUCAGCUGUUCAACAGGUGGUCUACCCAGGAUAUUUCAAUCCCCCUUUGGUUAAGGUGAGUGGGACAUUUACAGUGUGUAAUGAUAUUGUAAUGGCAUUUCAAGAAAACAGUAUGACCAUUAGAUCCAAUACCACACAUUCAACGUUUUCAUUAUUUUUCUCUUUUUUUGGAAUAAAGGUGUCAGAGUUGAUUUCUGAGCAUUUGCUGCAGCUGUUGCAUGCUGAGUCCCAGGGAACAUCGCAGAAGAGCCAGACUGUCAAAAACCCUCUAGUGUUUGGCUUGUCUUUGUUCAGAGUCUGCCAAGCUUGUCAGAUAGAUCUUGGGGUGAAGGGCUGGGCAAAUCUAUGCUACGUAGUGUCCUCACACACUGCACUUGACAGCAGAAACAUAGAGGAAAUUAGAAAUGUCUUCUCUUUUCCACAAAAGUGAGUUUCAGAUGCAAUGUUUAUAUUGUGUUGUUUGAUUACAGCAACCCUGUUUAUAUGUUGGGCGAAAUCUGUUAAUCUGUCUUUCUUUGUCUCCACAGCCUUGUGAUUGGUAUGGUCAACUACUGCUCACAGAGGCUGGUCUCAGAGCUUCCCCUGCUCAUUCCUCUACUGCACACUCUCAUACAGCCGGGAGCAGACGCUGGCAGGCUUGGUCCUACUAUAGAGGAGAUGAACUGGGCAGGGCUUGAAAAUGUUAAGUACAACAACUUCAGAGAGAGGAUCAGAAGCUUUUCUGACAAAAGAAGGUUUGUCCAAUUGUCCCUCAAAGUGUCUCAAAACCCUAUUUGAGUGGUCCACAAUGUGCUUUUUAAAAUCUGCAUUGUGAAUAAUUGUAUCAUUGUGGAGUGAAAUUUAACAAAAAAUAUGACUAUUUCUAACUCUGCAUAUAUGUGUUCAAUUAGACUAUUAUUCCAGUUACUUCACAUUUCUUCUUUUCCUCAGGAGAAAUACUUGACAGUACAUUGACCUCAAACAUGUAUAACAUUGAUGACACUUUCCUCUUUGCAGGAUGAUGCUCACUUUGAUCCAGAAUCACAUUUCUGUGGCUAAAGAGAUGCCUCUGGUUUGGACCAGCUGGCUGUCCCUGGUGGCCUUUGAGGACCUUCCAGAAUUCUCCACCCUGAAGAGCAUACCUCCAGAACACAUAAUCCAGAGCCUGCUGUACAGGCUUCGACAGUAUGGGGAGAAUACUGAUAUCAAAACACAACAACAAAAUGUAGAGGUAAGGUAUGGAUGAUUAAUGUCUGAUAAGAUUACUCAGUUAAAGAGUAGUGCUAUUGCGGUGGAUCUUUAAAUAUUCAUUUGUGACAUUAUUAUUUCAACUUCCAGGUUACUCAAAAGAUCCUGUGCUUUGUAUUGGAGAAAGUUGAAGAGGAGAAGGAAAGGUAUUGGAAUUUGAGAUCUGUGAGCGUGAGUCGUUUGAGUGUUAUAUUAUUCUGCUAUUGUAUGUGUGGCUUUUGUUUAUAGGCUAGCAGAUUCUGGGUAUGUGGACUCCAUCCUCUUGAGUUGCAUCAGUGUUCUGAAGAGCACUUGCCGGAUGGUGCGACUUGUCCCGUUCUACAAGGCAGCAGUGCUAUCCUUCCAACUAGUGCUGAAAGCGGCUGAAAUUCUGGAUGCUGCACUUGCAAACAAGGUAGUUGUUGAUCUGGUAAUUUGCUGUUGUUCUAUUUAUACUCCCUUUUUCUCCUCAAUUUCGUGAUAUUCAAUUGGUAGUUACAGUCUUGUCCCAUCGCUGCAACUACCGUACGGACCCAGGAGAGGUGAAGGUCGAGAGCCAUGCGUCCUCUGAAACACGACCCUGCCAAGCCGCACUGCUUCUUGACACACUGCUCGCUUAACCCGGAAGCCAUCCGCACCAAUGUGUCGGAGGAAACACAGUACAAUUAGCGACUUUGUCAGCGUGCAUGCGCCCGGUCUGCCACAGGAGUCGCUAGAGCGCAAUGCGGCUAACCCAGACCCAGACGAGGAUGGGCCAAUUGUGCGUUGCCUCAUGGGUCUCUCGGUCACUGCCGGCUGCGACACAGCCCGGGAUCGAACCUGGGUCUGUAGUGAUGCCUUAGACCGCUGCUCCACUUGGGAAGCCGUCACUGUUGUUCUUUGAACUCCAAUAGUACACCAAAUGGUGUGUGUGUUCCUUCCCAGACUCUGGAUGGUGAGGAGAAGAGACCUGAGCAGUUCCAGCUAUCUGACAAGCUUGGGGACGUGCUGCAACAUCUCAGCCAGUGGAGAGACAAUCUUCUCUACAAUGAUCUCCUGAAACAAGGCGCUCAGUCCAAAUCCCUCAGCUUCCCCAAAGAAAUAGAGGUACUGUAGCCAAACUAGCAGACAUACAAGACCUUAGCAGACGAUAUUUGUUCCCAGACGUACACAGUUUUCUGUUCAUUAUAAACCUGUUUGUAUGUGUUGGUAGAUGUGGGAUGCCUUCCUGAGGGUAGAAUGCUCUCUGCAGAGUGUGUCAGCCCAGUGGAUGUCCAGCCUGGACAGAGACCUGAGGAAGAGGAUCUCUAGGGUGAGUGUAUCGGCCUACAGACCAGGUCUUACAUUCAGGAAACCUAGGAGAGUUUUGAGAUUUGAUUAGCUAGACACAAUUGGUCAGAUUCACUCGGACACAAAUCAAGUAUAGUCCUGGACUAACUAGCACAUUCAAUGUUCUUUAUUGAGCAUUAUUUUUAGUCUAGGAUUAGGCUCAAUCUGUGUCAGGGAAACCGGCUGUGUCAUUCCUACUAUGGGGUGCCUUUCUGUCCCCAGGAAAUAUCACUUAUUAUUUCAUGUAAAAUGUAGAUUCUAAAAGGCUUUAAAUAUAAGAUCAGGUGUCCUUUACCUUAACAUCUCAAAAAUAUGGAUCUUGAAAGGGAAUUUUAUGCAUUUUGAAAAUGUCCCCUGGUGUUAUUUGUCAACUUCUAUGAAAAUUAUAAGCUAUAAUUUCCAAAAUCCAAAAUUCUUGGACUCGAGUCACAAAUUUGAUGACUUGAUAUAACAUAAAAUAACUUGAGACUUGGAGCAACAAGACUCGGGACUCGACUUGAGACCGAGUACUUGAAAUUAUCUAGCCAGGUUUUGUAAUGUUUUGGCACUCAUUUUGUGGAGUUUACGUAGAUUACUCUCCAUGCAGCCAGAGAGUGUAGCCGCAGUAUCUCCAUUGCAAAAAAAGGUGCAACAGAUUUGGUAGUGAAAUGCACACUCGGGCACUCUGAUUGGACCAACAAACUGUCAAUCAAUACAGGUCAGAUGGUGAGCUAGCGAACAAUUGCUGAUUUGCUGUACAGCACAAGGAUCGGGUGCAGCGCAAACAUCAAAUUAUAGGAGGAUUGCCAUAAUGAAUAAAUAUGCAGCUCUAAAAAAAUUGGUGAUCAGGAAUAUUAACUGUUUACUUUACAAGCUCAUCAGCAAUGGGGCAACAAUUACUAGCAUAGGCCUACUGGUAUUUUGGUAUGUAACAAUUGCUUGAAAUGUAUAAUUUACUUAUGAAGUUUGUAUUUGGAAUUUGCUGUUAAAAUGAGUUAUUACUGUGGCGAAGAUGCACCAUAGGGCACAGCUCUUCACUUGCGCUCCCAGCGCUCCCAACGCUCCCGCCACCGGAG
This 5292-nucleotide long non-coding RNA is filed under the name Oncorhynchus kisutch (coho salmon). RNAcentral's name for it is "lncRNA (ENSOKIG00005019930.1)". The record is from RNAcentral. Lineage: Eukaryota; Metazoa; Chordata; Actinopteri; Salmoniformes; Salmonidae.